AGACACGCCCAGGCAGGGAAGAGCUCCCUGAAUCUUGGAACAGGCUACUCUUCAUUCCCUUUCUGCCGACCAAUUCGAUCCACAACGAGAAGAAGAUUAGCAGCCUGAGAGUUCAAAUCUCCCCAAAAGAAAGCAAAGCUAGCUGAAAUCAAGUGAAAGAAAUAUGUCAGGUUUCUCUUACCUCACCAAAGGGACAGGAAAGGAAAACCCUCUUCCUCUCAAGAUGCAGAUCAUGAGAUGUUCAAAUGUGAAUGCCACUGCUGCCAGAACUAGGUGGAAAAAACAUCCGGGAUGUCUGCUGGAACCAGAAUGGAAG
Molecule: long non-coding RNA, 316 nt
Filed under: Cricetulus griseus (Chinese hamster)
Lineage: Eukaryota; Metazoa; Chordata; Mammalia; Rodentia; Cricetidae
Description: lncRNA (ENSCGRG00015018166.2)
Source: RNAcentral